This is a non-coding RNA of Lathyrus oleraceus (garden pea), 74 nucleotides long. The record is from the annotation of a RefSeq genome assembly. NCBI's taxonomy places the organism in Eukaryota, Viridiplantae, Streptophyta, Magnoliopsida, Fabales, Fabaceae.
GUUGUUGUGGUGUAGUGGUUAUCACGUCAGUCUUACCAACUGAAGGUCUCCAGUUCAAUCCUGGGGCAGCAACA